This 377-nucleotide unclassified non-coding RNA is filed under the name uncultured Gammaproteobacteria bacterium. Its description in RNAcentral is "contains 16S-23S intergenic spacer region". Lineage: Bacteria; Pseudomonadati; Pseudomonadota; Gammaproteobacteria. The record is from RNAcentral.
UCCGGUUUGUCACCGGCAGUCCCAUUAGAGUGCUCAACUGAAUGUAGCAACUAAUGGCAAGGGUUGCGCUCGUUGCGGGACUUAACCCAACAUCUCACGACACGAGCUGACGACAGCCAUGCAGCACCUGUGUCCAGGUUCCCUUUCGGGCACCCCUCCAUCUCUGGAGGGUUCCUGGCAUGUCAAGGGUAGGUAAGGUUUUUCGCGUUGCAUCGAAUUAAUCCACAUAAUCCACCGCUUGUGCGGGUCCCCGUCAAUUCCUUUGAGUUUUACCCUUGCGAGCGUACUCCCCAGGCGGGGCACUUAACACAUUAGCUUCGGCAGAGAGGACCAUAGGUUCCCCCCUGCCCAGUGCCCAUCGUUUACGGCUAGGACUA